Molecule: small nuclear RNA, 311 nt
Filed under: Drosophila pseudoobscura pseudoobscura
Lineage: Eukaryota; Metazoa; Arthropoda; Insecta; Diptera; Drosophilidae
Description: snRNA:U11:1
Rfam family: U11 spliceosomal RNA (bases 41-281)
Source: RNAcentral
CGCGCCUUCUUCGACCUCCCGCUAAACUGCCUCUUGCUUCAAAAAGGGUAUCCGAGUCAGGUGUUCGCAACGAAAGCGCGCCGAGUCGCACUGCGCCUUUGGGACCAUCUAGCAUCCUUCGGGGAGCGGGGGUCGAGUUUCCAAUCUGCUCACCCUUCGAUGGAUCCCUAUGUGCCCAGUGGGGUAUGGCUUUGCAUAUCCGAGGCUCAAUUUUUGAAUGUGGGGCUUGACAGCUGCACCUCGUAUGGUCCGAAUGGUACGGACCUGUGCGCUGCGCCCCGCCUGAUUAAUACAUUUGUUAUAUAAAGGAG